Molecule: unclassified non-coding RNA, 1573 nt
Filed under: Eurytemora carolleeae
Lineage: Eukaryota; Metazoa; Arthropoda; Copepoda; Calanoida; Temoridae
Description: uncharacterized LOC111713001
Source: RNAcentral
UCUGAUCGGACAAUGACAAGACACUUUUUCUCAGAAAUUUGUAGUUUCUCUGUUUUUAAAGGAGAUUUAAUAUUUUUCUUCUAUACGAUGGCCGCCACAGAUUGAACUAGACGAAUUGAGCUGUUUUGACUUUAAUAUCAUCUCUAAAACUUUAUAAAUUACUUUUCAAAAUGGCCAAGAAGCUGCAUUUUAAUUUUCUUAACUUAAAACAGCUUAAGAAUCAAUUUCUAUUGACUACUGCACUUCUUAUUCUAAUAUUGGUUUUCAGUCAUCAUCAGUUAGUUCUUGUCCCUCUCCCUACUGGAUUCGUUAUGGUGAAUAACCCAACAAACUGUUCUUUAAUAAAUAAGUUUAACCUGGAUAAAGAUAUGAAGACAGUAAUGCUCUUGUCAAAUCCUAAAAGUGAAUCUGCAUCUAAAGGAAAACUUGUUUACAGACCCUACCUGAACUGCUUAGGCCAGGAGGAUGACCAUCUAGCGAAGAAAAUCAGGAAGAAUAUAUCUGGCAAAGAUUAUAUAGAUGCUGCAAGCUCAUUAAUUUUUGUGAAUUAUCUUAAAUGAGACAAUUACACAAAAAAUACUCCAAUCUAAAAGGCCAAAUUUUUGCUGAAUUACGGUACGACUUUAUUACUUUGUUGCUCAUCUAGUUUUUAUAUUACUUAUUUAUGAUCUGAAACAAUGCUAUUUUGACCUAUCAUAAUAAUCUGUAAAAUGAGGUCUCCGAACACCAAGCCUAGGGUUUAUCUUGGGCUGAAGGUAAAUGAACAUGAUAAUGUGGAGAUGCAGCAGAUGGAACAAGUUAGGGAUAUAGUCGAGCUAGAAUUUGAAGUACGUUACAACUGGACUGGUGUCCUCAUAGAAGCAGACAUUUGGCUCUUUCAGAAAGGCCUCACAGUCAACAGAAAGGCAUUCCAGAUUCACACAUGCUUAGCAGUUGAGAAAAAUCCACAUUUUGCUAUGUUCGAUAUGCUCUCAGCAGUCAGGUAACCCCGUGAUAAAUCUUCUAAUCCUGGAUUUUGAAGGAGCGGAACAGUUGAUUUUAGAAACACUGCCUUGGGAGAAGGCUUCUAUUCGUGUCCUUAUAGAAUCUAAAGGCUACAAAAGAUUUCCACAUCGAGGAGCAAGAAAUCCUUUAACUGGACGCGAACAAAAUGAUUUGUUUAUCAGAGAAGAUAUUGUUCAAAAAUAUAAUGUAAUUGGAUAUUCAUCAAAACUAUAAUGUAAUUGGAUAUUCAGCAAAACUAUAUAAUGUAAUUAGAUAUUCAUCAAAACUAUAAUGUAAUUGGAUAUUCAGCAAAACUAUAGUGUAAUUGGAUAUUCAGCAAAACUAUAAUGUAAUUGGAUAUUCAGCAAAACUAUAAGGUAAUUGGAUAUUCAUCAAAACUUUGAUGUGAUUGGAUAUUCAUCAAAAUUAUAAUGUGAUUGGAUAUACAUCAAAACUAUAAUGUGAUUGGAUAUUUAUCAAAAUUAUUAUGUAAUUGGAUAUUCAUCAAAACUAUAAUGUGAUUGGAUAUUCAUCAAAAUUAUAAUGAAAUUGGAUAUUCAUCAAAACUAUAAUGUGAUUAGAUAUUCAU